Molecule: ribosomal RNA, 605 nt
Filed under: uncultured bacterium
Lineage: Bacteria
Description: bacterial SSU rRNA
Rfam family: Bacterial small subunit ribosomal RNA
Source: RNAcentral
CCAGACUCCUACGGGAGGCAGCAGUGGGGAAUAUUGCACAAUGGGCGCAAGCCUGAUGCAGCGACGCCGCGUGAGGGAUGGAGGCCUUCGGGUUGUGAACCUCUUUCGCCAGUGAAGCAGGCCUGUCCCUUGUGGGUGGGUUGACGGUAGCUGGAUAAGAAGCGCCGGCUAACUACGUGCCAGCAGCCGCGGUAAUACGUAGGGCGCGAGCGUUGUCCGGAAUUAUUGGGCGUAAAGAGCUCGUAGGCGGCUGGUCGCGUCUGUCGUGAAAUCCUCUGGCUUAACUGGGGGCUUGCGGUGGGUACGGGCCGGCUUGAGUGCGGUAGGGGAGACUGGAACUCCUGGUGUAGCGGUGGAAUGCGCAGAUAUCAGGAAGAACACCGGUGGCGAAGGCGGGUCUCUGGGCCGUUACUGACGCUGAGGAGCGAAAGCGUGGGGAGCGAACAGGAUUAGAUACCCUGGUAGUCCACGCCGUAAACGUUGGGCACUAGGUGUGGGGGGCCUUUUCCGGGUUUUCCGCGCCGUAGCUAACGCAUUAAGUGCCCCGCCUGGGGAGUACGGCCGCAAGGCUAAAACUCAAAGGAAUUGACGGGGGCCCGCACAAG